CUCUCUCUCUGUCACUCUUCUUCUCCGUUCGAACAAACCAACCACAAAACAACCUUAAACUUCCACCAACGACGGAGUUAAGACCACACACCAUCGAACGAACUCCUGGAGACUCCACGAUCACGUAGACACCAAUUUCAGGACAAUCCAAGCUCACAGUGAGCUUAGUGAGGUUCCAAGGAAGCUCGGAGUGCUUCGUUGGAAGUUUUUGGACGUAAGAACACGGAGAUCGAUAAGUUCAAAGUUUGGCCGGAGCUUUCGAGGCAUUUUCCGACGAAUCCCCGGCGAGUUAGGCGUCGAGUUUCCGGCGACCUCCGAGGCUUUCGAGGCAGUUUACGGCCAAACUACGGCGAACUAGGUGUUGGGAAAGUUUUGGAAAUUGACGGAGAUCCGACCGUUGGAUGGCGCCGAUCGUCAUGACGCCUUGGCGUAUUGUGCUAGGGAGUUGUAGGGCGAACUCCAGGUUCAGGAAUCACAAAGGUGUGGUGACUACGAGGAAUUCGACGGUGUUCUGACAGAUUGGCCAAAAUUAGGACUCACCUUCGGGUGUAUCAAUUUAAAUUGUAUCUUAAAGCUUCCGUACUGUGCAAAUGGUUACGUCACUCUCACGUGACGGCCAGCAUGCCCUCCUUCGGGACGGGGUGUGUCAAUAGAUGCAAUAACAAAUUGCCAAAAUUUAUAUUGACCUGCUUUCAAAUAUAGACAUAUAUAAACUUAGC
Molecule: small RNA, 719 nt
Filed under: Malus domestica (apple)
Lineage: Eukaryota; Viridiplantae; Streptophyta; Magnoliopsida; Rosales; Rosaceae
Description: sRNA MD12G0144600
Source: RNAcentral